GGGCCUACGGGAGGCAGCAGUGGGGAAUAUUGGACAAUGGGGGCAACCCUGAUCCAGCAAUGCCGCGUGUGUGAAGAAGGCCUGCGGGUUGUAAAGCACUUUCAAUCGUGAAAAAAAGCUCAUGGAUAAUACCCAUGAGUCUUGAUGUUAACGAUACAAGAAGCACCGGCUAACUCCG
This 178-nucleotide ribosomal RNA is filed under the name uncultured bacterium. RNAcentral describes it as "partial 16S ribosomal RNA". It matches the Rfam family "Bacterial small subunit ribosomal RNA", at positions 335 to 505 of the family's 1533-position model. The record is from RNAcentral.